AUUGAACGCUGGCGGCAUGCUUUACACAUGCAAGUCGAACGGCAGCGCGGGCUUCGGCCUGGCGGCGAGUGGCGAACGGGUGAGUAAUACAUCGGAACGUGCCCAGUAGUGGGGGAUAGCUCGGCGAAAGCCGGAUUAAUACCGCAUACGACCUGAGGGUGAAAGCGGGGGAUCUUCGGACCUCGCGCUAUUGGAGCGGCCGAUGGCAGAUUAGCUAGUUGGUGGGGUAAAGGCCUACCAAGGCGACGAUCUGUAGCUGGUCUGAGAGGACGACCAGCCACACUGGGACUGAGACACGGCCCAGACUCCUACGGGACGCAGCAGUGGGGAAUUUUGGACAAUGGGCGAAAGCCUGAUCCAGCAAUGCCGCGUGUGUGAUGAAGGCCUUCGGGUUGUAAAGCACUUUUGGCGGGAACGAAAAGGACUGUGCCAAUACCACGGUUCGAUGACGGUACCCGCAGAAUAAGCACCGGCUAACUACGUG
RNAcentral lists this ribosomal RNA (484 nucleotides) under uncultured bacterium. Its description in RNAcentral is "partial 16S ribosomal RNA". It matches the Rfam family "Bacterial small subunit ribosomal RNA", at positions 29 to 507 of the family's 1533-position model. The record is from RNAcentral.